Lolium perenne is the source of this 612-nucleotide long non-coding RNA. RefSeq lists it as uncharacterized. NCBI's taxonomy places the organism in Eukaryota, Viridiplantae, Streptophyta, Magnoliopsida, Poales, Poaceae. The record is from RefSeq and is a predicted model, not a curated record.
AUGGGCCGCAUGACCUGGACAAGGUGGCUUUAUUGUUUUGCAGGCCUGCUGCUCGGGCAUUAAGUAUCAGGGGCAUGUCGGUCGAGCUCCCAAUAAUGGAGUCGCGUUGAAUCAAUGCCGGCGGAGGAGACGUAGAGAUGGAGCUUCCCUUAAUCACUUCAGUUUCUACAUAUGUUCAUUGGUGGAUUUUCCCUUCCGCUUCAAUACUCGUUUCCCAUGUUUUUGCAUAGGAAUAGUUCAUGCAACGCAUCAGGAGAUGGCUCAGAUCUUUGGCGGACAACACCUCCUCUUGGCUCCUUCUGUGCACUGCCGCGAUCUUCAACAUGGAGCCCUUCCAGUCCCAGGCCUUUCUUCCUGGUCAUCCGAUGCUGUCACACCUUCUAUUUGGAUUUUUGGAUAUGUAAAAGAGGCUUGCUUAUAAUAAUCUAUUGUUGAUGCAUGGUGACCUGAAUCAACGUUCUUUUCUAUUUCAGUGGUACCUUUUCUUACCCCUCACGUGUUUAGAUCUAUUAUCCUUGAUUACAUGGGAAAUCUUUGUUUUUUAUCCCCAAGUUGUAUCAGUAAUGAAAUUACCUGUGAGAUGUGCCACAACAGCAUCAGUGGUCUUGUAUA